CCUACGGGAGGCAGCAGUAGGGAAUCUUCCACAAUGGGCGAAAGCCUGAUGGAGCAACGCCCCGUGGGUGAAGAAGGUCUUCGGAUCGUAAAACCCUGUUGUUAGAGAAGAAAGUGCGUGAGAGUAACUGUUCACGUUUCGACGGUAUCUAACCAGAAAGCCACGGCUAACUACGUGCCAGCAGCCGCGGUAAUACGUAGGUGGCAAGUGUUAUCCGGAUUUAUUGGGCGUAAAGGGAGUGCAGGCGGCUUGGCAAGUCUGAUGUGAAAGGCUGGGGCUCAACC
This 284-nucleotide ribosomal RNA is filed under the name uncultured bacterium. RNAcentral describes it as "partial 16S ribosomal RNA". It matches the Rfam family "Bacterial small subunit ribosomal RNA", at positions 338 to 614 of the family's 1533-position model. The record is from RNAcentral.